GAUGAAGAACGUAGCGAAAUGCGAUAACUAAUGUGAAUUGCAGAAUUCAGUGAAUCAUCGAGUCUUUGAACGCACAUUGCGCCCCCUGGUAUUCCGGGGGGCAUGCCUGUCCGAGCGUCAUUGCUGCCCUCAAGCACGGCUUGUGUGUUGGGCUCCGUCCCCCCGGGGACGGGCCCGAAAGGCAGCGGCGGCACCGAGUCCGGUCCUCGAGCGUAUGGGGCUUUGUCACCCGCUCUGUAGGCCCGGCCGGCGCCAGCCGACAACCCAUCAUCCUUUUCAGGUUGACCUCGAAUCAGGUAGGGAUACCCGCUGAACUUAAGCAUAUCAAUAAGCGGAGGA
RNAcentral lists this unclassified non-coding RNA (339 nucleotides) under soil metagenome. RNAcentral describes it as "partial contains 5.8S ribosomal RNA, internal transcribed spacer 2, and large subunit ribosomal RNA". The stretch from base 1 to 120 matches the Rfam family "5.8S ribosomal RNA", at positions 35 to 154 of the family's 154-position model. The record is from RNAcentral.